UACGAGGGGUGCAAGCGUUGCUCGGAAUUAUUGGGCGUAAAGGGUAGGUAGGUGGUCUGAUUUGUCAGGGGUGAAAGCCUUGAGCUUAACUCAAGAAGUGCCCCUGAAACGGUCAGACUGGAGUCUUGGAGAGGUGAGUGGAAUUCCCGGUGUAGCGGUGAAAUGCGUAGAGAUCGGGAGGAACACCAGAGGCGAAGGCGGCUCACUGGACAAGCACUGACACUCAACUACGAAAGCGUGGGGAGCAAACAGG
This 253-nucleotide ribosomal RNA is filed under the name uncultured bacterium. Its description in RNAcentral is "partial 16S ribosomal RNA". It matches the Rfam family "Bacterial small subunit ribosomal RNA", at positions 524 to 776 of the family's 1533-position model. The record is from RNAcentral.